This is a long non-coding RNA of Haliotis rubra (blacklip abalone), 457 nucleotides long. RefSeq lists it as uncharacterized. The record is from RefSeq and is a predicted model, not a curated record. The transcript is spliced from 3 exons. Lineage: Eukaryota; Metazoa; Mollusca; Gastropoda; Lepetellida; Haliotidae.
AAUAUACCUACUCGUCACGUGACUAAACAAUAUCACAAAUAUAUAUAAGCGUCAUUGCCCCGCGAGCUAUCCCUACAGUCGACCGAUAGUUUCAAGAUGGAGUCACUGAUCGCCUUCUGCUUCCUCGUUGUAUUUGCAUUGAUAAACCUGGGAAUAAGCCCAGCUAUGGCGGCCUCAGAGCCUGAGAGCUCUGCCUCCACGCAAGGCUUCUCCGUCCUUCUGGGGUCCUUGGCGAUGGUGCUGGGCUAUGUCGUGGCGAAGUAAUCCAGUGUCCACCAUGACGUCAGCUGACCAGGAUCCGCAGAAACCGGAAAUACCGAUUGUGGACAAACUGUUAGUCAUAACAUGCAAUCUGCUGUUUUAUCACGUGUAUUCUUCGAGUCUAAAAAUACUUUUCUGACAGAAUUUAAAAGUUACGUUGUCAACUUGAAUAUCACAAAUAAAUCUGAUAUCUGAA